RNAcentral lists this ribosomal RNA (482 nucleotides) under uncultured bacterium. RNAcentral describes it as "partial 16S ribosomal RNA". It matches the Rfam family "Bacterial small subunit ribosomal RNA", at positions 30 to 507 of the family's 1533-position model. The record is from RNAcentral.
AUUGAACGCUGGCGGCAUGCCUUACACAUGCAAGUCGAACGGUAACGGGCCUUCGGGUGCCGACGAGUGGCGAACGGGUGAGUAAUACAUCGGAACGUGCCCGAUCGUGGGGGAUAACGAGGCGAAAGCUUUGCUAAUACCGCAUACGAUCUACGGAUGAAAGCAGGGGACCGCAAGGCCUUGCGCGGACGGAGCGGCCGAUAGCAGAUUAGGUAGUUGGUGGGAUAAAAGCUUACCAAGCCGACGAUCUGUAGCUGGUCUGAGAGGAUGAUCAGCCACACUGGGACUGAGACACGGCCCAGACUCCUACGGGAGGCAGCAGUGGGGAAUUUUGGACAAUGGGCGCAAGCCUGAUCCAGCCAUGCCGCGUGCAGGAUGAAGGCCUUCGGGUUGUAAACUGCUUUUGUACGGAAAGAAAAGCCUUCUUUUAAUACAGGAGGGUCAUGACGGUACCGGAAGAAUAAGCACCGGCUAACUACGUG